UACAAUCCUCAAAUGAAUAUAU
RNAcentral lists this non-coding RNA (22 nucleotides) under Arabidopsis thaliana (thale cress). Lineage: Eukaryota; Viridiplantae; Streptophyta; Magnoliopsida; Brassicales; Brassicaceae. The record is from RNAcentral.